AUGUUUCAUUUCAUUAUAGGCCUUUUUGUGUUUCGCCUCUUUGAGAAAAGUACUUUUUUUUUUUUUUUCUCUUUUUUGGCUGCCCUGCGGCACAUGGAGUUCCUGGGCCAGGGAGCAGAACUGAGCUAUAGUUGCAACCAAACCCACUGCAGGGCUGGGAAUCCAACUUGCAUCCUGAUGUUGCAGAGACACGGCACCACAGUGGGAACUCCUGAGCCAAGUAAAUUUAAACAGAGAGAGACAGAUAAAGAUAUAGAGGUAUAUAUACGUGUACAUUAAAAAGCCACACAGCUGGAGGGAGCAAAAUUGGACUUCUAAGCUUUACAGUGAACAUGCUCAUCAAAGAAUCUUUGCAUGACAAUUUCCUCUUCCCUCUAUGCUUUCCUAUGGGGUGAAAAAAAUGAGAUCUGCUUAACAGCUCAAUUCCUUUUUAUGAGUUAAUAAUUUGCCCUUAAGUUUUAUAUUCCAGUCUACUGGUUAUCAUAAGCCAGUCUCUCUCACAUCUGGCUCCGCUAAAUAGUUGAGAACCUGAUCUGAGACAGGGAGGUCCUUGCUUACUGUAAUGCGAUGAUUCUAAGCUCAGGUGGCCUGUGGGACACAGAAUGGCAGUCUUCAGGCAGUGCCCUUGUUAUCUUCCUGUAUAUUUAUUCAAAUGAUAAUUUUCCCCCUGAAAUGAAAAUAUGAAAACACAGAACAGGGGAAGUUCUUCAUUCAGUAACUUGAUUCUAUCCUUUACAUCUUAAAGAGAAUGACUCACAGCUGAGCAACAGACAUCCACGGAGACCAGAAGCCUCAGAUUAGUUUCGUUUUGUUGUGCAUUGCAUCAAGAGUCCAGCAUGUAUUUUGCUCCAAUUUUCUCCCACAGGUUCUUGGUUUAAAGUUAAUGGGUCUGGAGAGAGUGGAAAUUUUGGAGGCUCUUGGUGCAAAAAGAUACCAGAUUCAAGAAUGGCCCCAGACGUAGGCCAGCGGCUACAGCUCUGAUUAGACCCCUAGCCUGGGAACCUCCAUGAGCUGUGGGUGCCAUCCUAAAAAGAUAAAAGAGAAAAAAAAAGAAAGAAAGAAAGAAAGAAAGGCCCCAGCUAGAAUUGGGAUCUCUAUUUUAUUUAUCUUCAUGCUCUCACAGACCCUCAAGCCGCUUCCUGGCUCUCCUUCAGCUGUGAAACAGGGUCAAUAAAUCAGUGACCCACCAACCA
RNAcentral lists this long non-coding RNA (1193 nucleotides) under Sus scrofa (pig). RNAcentral describes it as "lncRNA (ENSSSCG00070004094.1)". The record is from RNAcentral. Lineage: Eukaryota; Metazoa; Chordata; Mammalia; Artiodactyla; Suidae.